GAAAGCCACCUGCCUCUGCCCUUUUCCUAAUUCUGCCAUGUGCCCUAUAUUCAUCUGCUCCAUGGCCCUUGGUCUCCUGGGCGCAGGUGCCCUUGAUGCAGAUGUCACCCAGACUCCAGGGCACCUCAUCACAGGGAAAGGCCAGAAUGUGACAAUGAAGUGUGUCCCAAAGAAGGGACACGAUUAUGUUUACUGGUACCAACAGAUCCUGGCAAAAGAAUUCAAGUUCUUGGUUUCCUUCCAGUACCAAAAUGUCUAUGAAACAGCAUUGCCCGGGAAGAGAUUUUCAGCUAAGUGUCCCCAGAACUCACCCUGUAGCCUGGAGAUCCAGGAUAUGGAGCUGCAGGAUUCAGCCAUCUAUCUUUGUGCCAGCAGUGAAGCCACAGUGUUAAAUAUUAGCUAG
Molecule: non-coding RNA, 403 nt
Organism: Hipposideros armiger (great roundleaf bat)
Lineage: Eukaryota; Metazoa; Chordata; Mammalia; Chiroptera; Hipposideridae
Source: the annotation of a RefSeq genome assembly